RNAcentral lists this long non-coding RNA (1249 nucleotides) under Salarias fasciatus (jewelled blenny). Its description in RNAcentral is "lncRNA (ENSSFAG00005002024.1)". Lineage: Eukaryota; Metazoa; Chordata; Actinopteri; Blenniiformes; Blenniidae. The record is from RNAcentral.
GUCAGGGACCCCAGAGGACCUGCCACUACGUACCAUUCGGCAGGACGUGCAGACCCUCCGAGGUUCAUCGGUGUCGUUUUCUGUCUCUUCCCCCGCCAAGCCGAAGACAAAGUUUAAGAUUAGAAGUGCCUUCACGUCAGCUCACCUGGGUCUAGCGAGCCAUACUUACCCCAUGGAGCAGCUCAGGGGAAAAUAUAAACACCUCGUUGGCCUCCCCAUCAGAACCCUCACCGAUGUCCGACCAUUGUUACUCAUCGGCAGCGACCACCCCCAUCUCAUCACCCCAAUUGAACCUGUCAGGUUGGGACCACCGGGCGGACCGGCCGCCAUACACACAAGGCUUGGUUGGACACUGCAGGGCCCUUCGAGUGUCGUUUGUCACCCAUCUCAGCAAUGCCUGUUUACGUCAGUCACCUCUCCAAUGGCUGAGCUGAUGAAACAUGUGGAAAGGUUAUGGCAAAUGGACACUGUACCGUACAGGAACGAGAAGCUGGUGACUCGUUCCAGGGAGGAUCAGACGGCCAUACGCACCCUCGAGACGAAGACCAUUAGAGUAGAGAUUGAUGGUGUCCACCGAUACGCCACCCCACUGCUCCGCCGCGAAGACAUGCCGGUCCUUCAUGCCACCAAAGAGGCAGUCAUGCCUAACCUACGAAGUGUGGAGAGACGACUGUCCAAGGAUCCUGCACGUACCGAGGCCUACAGAACAGAAAUGGAGAAACUGAUCAGAGCAGGCUCGGUCGUCAAGUGUGAGUCACCAGUCGAAGAAGGUGGUGAGGAGUGGUACAUCCCCCACCAUAUGGUGAGCCACAAUGGGAAGAACCGGCUGGUGUUCAACUGCUCGUAUCAGUACCGGGGACAGAAUCUCAACGAAUACUUACUGCCUGGGCCGACCUUGGGAGCAUCACUACUGGGGGUACUUUUGCGCUUCCGAGAACAUGCAGUAGCAGUCAGCGGAGACAUCCGAGGCAUGUUCCAUCAGGUGCGCCUCCUUCCCGAGGAUCGAGCCCUGCUCAGGUUCAUCUGGCGGGAUGUCAACACAGGAGAGCCUCCAGCUGUGUAUGAGUGGCAGGUGUUACCGUUCGGCACCACGUGCAGCCCCUGCUGCGCGACAUUCGCCUUGCAGCUCCACGUCAUCAAGCAUACCGAGCCAAACGAUGAAGUGAGGGCCUCAGUGGAGAGAUGCUUCUAUGUGGAUAACUGCCUGCAAAGUGUUCCCACCGUCACGGAGGCAAGGCGCCUGGUCGAC